This 380-nucleotide ribosomal RNA is filed under the name uncultured Streptococcus sp. Its description in RNAcentral is "bacterial SSU rRNA". It matches the Rfam family "Bacterial small subunit ribosomal RNA", at positions 1000 to 1382 of the family's 1533-position model. Lineage: Bacteria; Bacillati; Bacillota; Bacilli; Lactobacillales; Streptococcaceae. The record is from RNAcentral.
UUAGAGAUAGAAAGUUACUUCGGUACAUCGGUGACAGGUGGUGCAUGGUUGUCGUCAGCUCGUGUCGUGAGAUGUUGGGUUAAGUCCCGCAACGAGCGCAACCCCUAUUGUUAGUUGCCAUCAUUCAGUUGGGCACUCUAGCGAGACUGCCGGUAAUAAACCGGAGGAAGGUGGGGAUGACGUCAAAUCAUCAUGCCCCUUAUGACCUGGGCUACACACGUGCUACAAUGGCCGGUACAAAGGGCAGCGACACAGCGAUGUGAAGCCAAUCCCGAAAAGCCGGUCUCAGUCCGGAUUGGAGUCUGCAACUCGACUCCAUGAAGUUGGAAUCGCUAGUAAUCGCGGAUCAGCACGCCGCGGUGAAUACGUUCCCGGGCCUU